This 490-nucleotide ribosomal RNA is filed under the name uncultured bacterium. Its description in RNAcentral is "partial 16S ribosomal RNA". It matches the Rfam family "Bacterial small subunit ribosomal RNA", at positions 29 to 506 of the family's 1533-position model. The record is from RNAcentral.
GUGAACGCUGGCGGUAGGCCUAACACAUGCAAGUCGAACGGCAGCACCGUAAGAGCUUGCUCUUACGGGUGGCGAGUGGCGGACGGGUGAGGAAUACAUCGGAAUCUACUUUUUCGUGGGGGAUAACGCAGGGAAACUUACGCUAAUACCGCAUACGACCUACGGGUGAAAGCAGGGGAUCUUCGGACCUUGCGCGAUUGAAUGAGCCGAUGUCGGAUUAGCUAGUUGGCGGGGUAAAGGCCCACCAAGGCGACGAUCCGUAGCUGGUCUGAGAGGAUGAUCAGCCACACUGGAACUGAGACACGGUCCAGACUCCUACGGGAGGCAGCAGUGGGGAAUAUUGGACAAUGGGCGCAAGCCUGAUCCAGCCAUACCGCGUGGGUGAAGAAGGCCUUCGGGUUGUAAAGCCCUUUUGUUGGGAAAGAAAAGCAGCAGGUUAAUACCCCGCUGUUCUGACGGUACCCAAAGAAUAAGCACCGGCUAACUUCGU